GAGAAGCGAGGCUGUGAAGCGGAGCAAAUCUCAAAAACCGGUCCCAGUUCGGAUUGUAGGCUGCAACUCGCCUACAUGAAGUCGGAGUUGCUAGUAAUCGCGGAUCAGAAUGCCGCGGUGAAUGCGUUCCCGGGUCUUGUACACACCGCCCGUCACACCAUGGGAGUUGGAAAUGCCCGAAGUCAGUGGCCCAACCGGAAGGGGGGAGCUGCCGAAGGCAGGUUCGAUGACUGGGGUGAAGUCGUAACAAGGUAAC
This 256-nucleotide ribosomal RNA is filed under the name uncultured bacterium. Its description in RNAcentral is "partial 16S ribosomal RNA". It matches the Rfam family "Bacterial small subunit ribosomal RNA", at positions 1244 to 1500 of the family's 1533-position model. The record is from RNAcentral.